GACGAACGCUGGCGGCGUGCUUAACACAUGCAAGUCGAACGGAAAGGCUCCAGCUUGCUGGAGUACUCGAGUGGCGAACGGGUGAGUAACACGUGGGUGAUCCGCCCUGCACUUCGGGAUAAGCCUGGGAAACUGGGUCUAAUACCGGAUAGGACCGCACUUUGGUGUGUGUGGUGGAAAGGUUUUUCUGGUGUGGGAUGAGCUCGCGGCCUAUCAGUUUGUUGGUGGGGUAAUGGCCUACCAAGACGGCGACGGGUAGCAGGCCUGAGAGGGUGGACGGUCACAUUGGGACUGAGAUACGGCCCAGACUCCUACGGGAGGCAGCAGUGGGGAAUAUUGCACAAUGGGGGAAACCCUGAUGCAGCGACGCCGCGUGGGGGAUGAAGGCCUUCGGGUUGUAAACUCCUUUCGCUAGGGACGAAGCUUUUUGUGACGGUACCUGGAGAAGAAGCACCGGCUAACUACGUG
RNAcentral lists this ribosomal RNA (468 nucleotides) under uncultured bacterium. RNAcentral's name for it is "partial 16S ribosomal RNA". It matches the Rfam family "Bacterial small subunit ribosomal RNA", at positions 28 to 507 of the family's 1533-position model. The record is from RNAcentral.